UUUCAUUUUCGGAUUUGCGUC
RNAcentral lists this non-coding RNA (21 nucleotides) under Caenorhabditis elegans. The record is from RNAcentral. Lineage: Eukaryota; Metazoa; Nematoda; Chromadorea; Rhabditida; Rhabditidae.